Molecule: ribosomal RNA, 498 nt
Filed under: uncultured bacterium
Lineage: Bacteria
Description: partial 16S ribosomal RNA
Rfam family: Bacterial small subunit ribosomal RNA
Source: RNAcentral
AUUGAACGCUGGCGGCAUGCCUUACACAUGCAAGUCGAACGGUAACGCGGGGCAACCUGGUGACGAGUGGCGAACGGGUGAGUAAUGUAUCGGAACGUGCCCAAUAGUGGGGGAUAGCCCGGCGAAAGCCGGAUUAAUACCGCAUGAGACCUGAGGGUGAAAGCGGGGGAUCGCAAGACCUCGCGCUGUUGGAGCGGCCGAUAUCAGAUUAGGUAGUUGGUGGGGUAAAGGCCUACCAAGCCUGCGAUCUGUAGCUGGUCUGAGAGGAUGACCAGCCACACUGGGACUGAGACACGGCCCAGACUCCUACGGGAGGCAGCAGUGGGGAAUUUUGGACAAUGGGCGCAAGCCUGAUCCAGCCAUGCCGCGUGCGGGAAGAAGGCCUUCGGGUUGUAAACCGCUUUUGUCAGGGAAGAAAUCUUCUGGGUUAAUACCUCGGGAGGAUGACGGUACCUGAAGAAUAAGCACCGGCUAACUACGUGCCAGCAGCCGCUGUAA